GUCUACAGUCAAACCACCCUGUAUGCACCCUAUCUCCUCUGAUCUCACAAGCUAAGCAGGGUUGGGCCUGUUUAGUACAAAAAAGAUAAAACAAACAACCAUGGGGG
RNAcentral lists this ribosomal RNA (107 nucleotides) under Microtus ochrogaster (prairie vole). Lineage: Eukaryota; Metazoa; Chordata; Mammalia; Rodentia; Cricetidae. The record is from RNAcentral.